CGAAUGUUCUACGGGAACUCAUAAUUGUCAUGCUAAUGCGACCUGCACUGAUACAAUUGGUUCCUAUACCUGUACAUGUUUGGCAGGUUUCACUGGAAAUGUUCUUUUCAAUAUCAUAUUAUGUUUGCACUGCUUUAACAAUUGCAUAGACUCGGAAAUAGAUUUAGAGCAGGCUUUGAUUUUAGUUUAUAUUGUACAUUCGUAGAGAUCAACGAGUGCCGUCAACCUGGCGCAUGCCCAGAAAAUGCAAUUUGUAACGACCUAAUAGAAAAAUGUGACUACACAUGUAAGCCAGGAUUUGAAGGAUUGGCAUGU
Non-coding RNA from Paramuricea clavata, 315 nucleotides. The record is from the annotation of a GenBank genome assembly. NCBI's taxonomy places the organism in Eukaryota, Metazoa, Cnidaria, Anthozoa, Malacalcyonacea, Plexauridae.